AUUGAACGCUGGCGGCAUGCCUUACACAUGCAAGUCGAACGGCAGCGGGCCUUCGGGUGCCGGCGAGUGGCGAACGGGUGAGUAAUGCAUCGGAACGUGCCAUUGAGUGGGGGAGUAACGUAGCGAAAGUUAGCGCUAAUACCGCAUAUUCUGUGAGCAGGAAAGACAGGGACCGGCAAGGCCUUGCGCUCUUUGUAGCGGCCGAUGUCAGAUUAGCUAGUUGGUGGGGUAACGGGACUUACCAAGGACGACGAUCUGUAGCGGGUCGUGAGAGGAUGAUCCGCCACACUGGAACUAGAGACACGGUCCAGACUCCUACGGGAGGGCAGCAGUGGGGAAGUUUUGGUAC
Molecule: ribosomal RNA, 349 nt
Filed under: uncultured bacterium
Lineage: Bacteria
Description: bacterial SSU rRNA
Rfam family: Bacterial small subunit ribosomal RNA
Source: RNAcentral